This 395-nucleotide long non-coding RNA is filed under the name Saimiri boliviensis boliviensis (Bolivian squirrel monkey). RNAcentral's name for it is "lncRNA (ENSSBOG00000036759.1)". Lineage: Eukaryota; Metazoa; Chordata; Mammalia; Primates; Cebidae. The record is from RNAcentral.
AGAAAAUCUAUUGAAGGGAGAGAACAUUUAAACUAGGGGAUACAACUUAAGGAAAGAAGUAAAAGUGAGACCAAGAAGAUAUGUUUGAUGAACUGGUUUGACCAGAACUCAUGUUUCAAAUUGGAAACAUUCAAAUAGGAAGAUGGUAACUAAGGAACGUGCACCUUUGCUUGAAGUAUCAUCUCUCCUGCCAUGUGUACCUGGACGGAGGGGAAGGGAAAGUGGACUCCAAAGACACGGGGAAAGUGAAUAUCAAUGACUUUUGUACACGUCAACAGACCACCUGCUACUUCCACAGGACUUUGAAGACCUGAGGUGAGGCUGGUAUAUAUAGUUCAUGUGUGCUUACGAAGACAUGCACAAGCAUAGCCUGGAGCAGCGUGGCCCCAGGAAGA